CAGCCGCCGCGGGAAAACGGAGGGUGCAAGCGUUAUCCGGAUUCACUGGGUUUAAAGGGUGCGUAGGCGGGCAGGUAAGUCAGUGGUGAAAUCUUCGAGCUUAACUCGGAAACUGCCGUUGAUACUAUCUGUCUUGAAUAACGUUGAGGUGAGCGGAAUAUGUCAUGUAGCGGUGAAAUGCUUAGAUAUGACAUAGAACACCGAUUGCGAAGGCAGCUCACUAAACGCUCAUUGACGCUGUGGCACGAAAGCGUGGGGAUCAAACAGGAUUAGAUACCCGUGUAGUCCCUGUCUCUUAUAC
Molecule: ribosomal RNA, 301 nt
Filed under: uncultured bacterium
Lineage: Bacteria
Description: partial 16S ribosomal RNA
Rfam family: Bacterial small subunit ribosomal RNA
Source: RNAcentral